Mirounga angustirostris (Northern elephant seal) is the source of this 1907-nucleotide RNA transcript. It is a transcript of the gene named dermatopontin, with no coding region annotated. The record is from RefSeq and is a predicted model, not a curated record. Lineage: Eukaryota; Metazoa; Chordata; Mammalia; Carnivora; Phocidae. The transcript has 5 exons.
CCCAGCGGCCCUAGGGUGACAGUGUUUGCCAGAAGCCCAGCAGCAUGGACCGUGCUCUGCUCUGGGUGCUUCUGCCGCUGGUCACCGUGGCCUGGGGCCAGUACGGAGACUACGGGUAUCCUUACCAGCAGUACCACGACUACAGUGAUGACGGGUGGGUGAAUCUGAACCGGCAGGGCUUCAGCUACCAGUGUCCCCAUGGGCAGGUGGUGGUGGCCGUGAGGAGCAUCUUCAACAAGAAUGAAGGCUCGGACAGACAGUGGAAUUACGCUUGCAUGCCCACGCCACAGAACCUCGGGGAGCCCACGGAGUGCUGGUGGGAGGAAAUCAACAGAGCUGGAAUGGAGUGGUACCAGACGUGCUCCAACAACGGGCUGGUGGCAGGGUUCCAGAGCCGCUACUUUGAGUCCGUGCUGGAUCGGGAAUGGCAGUUUUACUGCUGUCGGUACGGCAAGAGAUGUCCGUAUUCCUGCUGGCUGACCACAGAAUAUCCAGGUCACUAUGGGGAAGAAAUGGACAUGAUUUCCUACAAUUACGACUACUAUAUGCGAGGAGCAACCACCACUUUCUCUGCAGUGGAAAGAUCCACAGCAUGUGUUCCUUCAGCUCUGCUGAAAGAUGCUAAGGCCACAGCGUCGGAGAAAUAGCAUCAGUGCAGGACCUACUGGGCAGGGACUUUCCUUCCAUAUGCAAAUCAGAGUGGGUUCCUCCUGGAACGGAGUUGCUCAGCCUGAGCACUAUUGACAUCCGGGACAGGGAUCGCCAGUGGAAGUUCAUAAUGUGCCGGAUGACUGACUAUGACUGUGAAUUUGCAAAUGUUUAGAUCUGCCACUCACCAAAUCUAGGUGAGGGGAAGGGGGCCAGGAGACCUGAGGAUGUCCACAGAGGUCAACAUCAGCUGGAGCUCCGAUGUGGUUUCUGCUGCUCUUUUCUUCUCCCUGAGGGGGUUAGUGGCUGCAGCACCAGCUUUCUGGGCCUUUCUGACUAGUAUCACACUUACAAUAAAAUCCACAAUGAAAUCGUGUUCUCACUUUCAACAUGUUCCAUAGCAACCGUUUUAUAUGACUGACGAUGGCUUUCUUGCACCCCGCAUAGACAGUGUGCAUGCUCACAGCCAGAAAAAAAGCCUGGUUCCCAGAGCACCUGUCACAGCUUUUGCUACCAAGUGAGCUACAGGCAAGGCUGGGGCUGAGCAGUAUCUGUGAAGAGGUUCAGUGUAGUGGAGUGAACGGCAGAAAUUGAAGAAAGUGGCAAUCAAUGAAGGUUCUUUGCAGGUCACUGUGUUUGAAUGAAACCAAGGGUCCUCACCAAGCCUUGAAGGGACAUGUGCCCACUCUCCCCCACCACAUCAGCCAUGCUUGUCUGGAAGUCCAAAGUGCAGAGUUCUGUGCUCCAGGAGGGAGGGGACAGGGAGGUAAAAUGGAGGGAUAAAAGGGUCUGGGCAGAGCUGAAAGCCUUAGCAUUGGAAGAGUUUCCUGAGUUGAAGGAAGAUUGUGGGCAUACCCAGUAAUGACAACAAUGCAGAACUCAGAGAAACCUAUGCAAAUCUGGCUCAAGUCAGACAGGAACAAGGAGGAAGACAGAGAGCAUGGGACUUGUGUUAGGAACUUAGAGGGAAAGAAAGAGUGGCCAGAUUGCUUUGGGAAUAGAAAGGGCGGUUUGAGUCACUGGCACCUGGAGAUGUGUCCAGGACUCCCAGGAAGGCUAGCAUAUGCCUGCAGCCAUGGGACUUACUGGCAAACUCACCUGAGAAAGGCUGCCCUGAGACUCCACUUCCCUUCUAUGCAUAGUUUAGGGGUGUUUUUUGCAGAGGUAACACUAUCUUUCCUCCUUCUGUGAUGUCUCUGUCCCCAGCCCUUUGUACUCUCUUCAUCAUAAAAGGAAUAAAAAUGUUAACAUUCACUAUG